GACGAACGCUGGCGGCGUGCUUAACACAUGCAAGUCGAACGGAAAGGCCCUGCUUGCAGGGUACUCUAGUGGCGAACGGGUGAGUAACACGUGUGGGCGCUGCCCCGCUCUCCGGGAUAAGAUUGGGAAACUGGGUCUAUUACCGGAUAGGUGCCAUCUUUCGUGUGGUGGUUGGUAAGUUUUUUCGGUGUAGGGUGAGUUUGCGGCCUAUUAGCCUGUUGGUGGGGUAAUGGCCUACCAAGGCGGCGACGGGUAGCCGGCCUGAGAGGGUGUACUGCCACAUAGAGUAUGCGAGACGCAGCACACUACUCCAAGGGGGAGCAGUGGGGGAUAUUGUGCAAGGGGCGCGAGCCUGAUACAGCGACGCCGCGUGGGGGAUGAAGGCAUACGGGUGGUGAACUCCUUUUGCUAGAGUAGAAGCACUAUAGUGACGGUACCGAGAUAAGAAGCACCGGCUAACUACGUG
Molecule: ribosomal RNA, 466 nt
Filed under: uncultured bacterium
Lineage: Bacteria
Description: partial 16S ribosomal RNA
Rfam family: Bacterial small subunit ribosomal RNA
Source: RNAcentral